RNAcentral lists this ribosomal RNA (252 nucleotides) under uncultured bacterium. RNAcentral describes it as "partial 16S ribosomal RNA". It matches the Rfam family "Bacterial small subunit ribosomal RNA", at positions 524 to 776 of the family's 1533-position model. The record is from RNAcentral.
UACGUAGGGGGCUAGCGUUGUCCGGAAUCAUUGGCGUAAAGCGCGUGUAGGCGGUCCGGUAAGUCCGCUGUGAAAGUCGAGGGCUCAACCCUCGAAUGCCGGUGGAUACUGUCGGGCUUGAGUACGGGAGAGGCGAGUGGAAUUCCUGGUGUAGCGGUGAAAUGCGCAGAUAUCAGGAGGAACACCGGUGGCGAAGGCGGGUCUCUGGGCCGAAACUGACGCUGAGGAGCGAAAGCGUGGGGAGCAAACAGG